GUGCUUAUUUCACUGUCUAACCCUGCCCAGGCCCCGGGGAGAAGCCUGGUAUUCUUCGUGUUUAUUUAAUUGUCAACUCUCUGUGUUCUAAGACGAUACCCUGGCCUUGACUCAGUACAACCUAGGACUGUAAGUCCCAUCAUGUCUAUGGACUUCAGUUUCCAGACAUGAAACACAAGAGGCUUGGACGAGAUUAGAAAUCAAGAACUCGAAUGCGUAUGGUCAGAGCCACGAGAGUUUCCAUAAAGGAACACAACCAUGUGGACAACUUGAUUAUGCCCUACAAAACUGAAUUCCUGUGAGCAUUCCUCUUCAAGAUGGAAGAAAAAGGGAAUAUUUCACAACCCCAAUGGUGAAACGUCUGCCUAUAGCCAACAAUACAAUCUCCAUCCAUGUAUGAUGUGACUUGCUCCUACAUGCCUUCCACCAUGAUUAUGAGGCCUCCUGAGCCAUGUGGAACUGCUAUCCAGCUCAAUGAGAAGUCUGGAAGACCCAGCUACAGAGAAAAUGAACUUAGAAGAAGAUACUGGCAUUUAGUAGUUCCCAGCAUAAAAACCACCUGACUGCCUCAAUGCCAACAUAGACAGACCACCUGGAAAUAAGCCCCAUCUGCCUGGAGAUAAGCCCCACCAAUGUACACAGAGCUCCUGGAGGCCGUUAGUGCUUAAUCAGAGCUACCAGGCAUUUGAGAAAAUAAUAACAGCAAUGAUGAAAGAGCUAUAAUCACAGAGAAGAAAGAACUGAGCAAUAAACAGAGUCAAUGUAGAAUUCAGAACAAUAUUUUGAAAGGAAAAUAUUAAUAUUAAUGAUAACCAUAAUAGUGUCAGAUUGCAUUUUGGCAACAACAUUUCCUUUCAUGAUUUCUCUUCUAACACAGAAACUAGAAGACUGGGAACCUUAUUUCUCAGAAAUAUUGCCAGCAGCUUCCAUGCCAAUGAGAAGCACUUUCAUGAGCUUGGGAAGCAGAGCUAAAGCUGUCAUGGCUUCUGCAGAAUCAAAAAGCAAGCAUGUGAUUUUAACAGAAAACAGAUGUGCAGUGUUUUGAGUGGCUUUCAAGCAUUCGCUCGUGAAAUUCUUUUUGGUGUGACAGACAUUAAUCACGGUUUGCUGAGAUUCUGCAUCUGCCUGAUAUACUGAAAGUUAGUGGUGGAUCUAAUCUAUGCAUUACGAAUUAAAUAUUUUAAUUCUCUAAAUAAUUUCUGAAGAUUAUGAUUAUACACACACAGCUGCCAAUUCUAGGCUUUCAAGAUCAGUGUAGAGAGACCAUCUCAUGACAAUAAUGCCUAAGAAAGUGAGGGCUCAUCACACUCACUAGAAACAUGAUUCUCCUCCUCUCCUAUUGCCAUUGUGGUGUAUUUCUGAACUUAGGGCAGUCUGGAGGUUUACCAGAACGCACCUUGGGUCUGGCAUUUCUCUUCAACCUUAGAGUUUGACAAAACAGAAUGCAAGGAUUUCAGGCGUGAGUAUAUGCUUCAUAUAUUACCUUCAGAUUCUCCUGCCUACUUCUUCCUACUCUAAGCACAUUACUAAAUUAGAUGCUACUUAGAAAGAACAUAAAGAUCAAAUACCCUAAAUUCUGUUGGAGUCUGUAGGAUUAAGAUCUUAAUGAUUCUAAAGCCUUUUAGAUUAUGUUAUUUUUAAAGCUAUGUAUAUCUCUUUCACCAUUAAAAAAUUUUAAAAAGGUAUAAUUUUAUUCUUAUUUAAAAAAUAAACUUUGAUAUUUCAAAAUUAAGUAUAAGGAUAAGACCUUACACCUUAAUGCCUUUCAUGCUUGGGGUAUGUUGGAAUACAGUUUCAGGUGGGAGAUCAGUACAGUAUUAUUCUUUUGUCCAGAUUUAUCAGUACUGCCUUGCAAUAAAUUUCAACAGUCCCUUGAUAAGUGAUUUGUGUGUGCCUCUGAUUACCCUGUUAAGUUCUCUUUUUCAUCACAGGAAAACAAGAACAAAAGAGGAGAUAGAUUUGAAGGAGAUACUCAUCUAAAUCUGAUCCCUUUGAGGAAUGUAAAAAAUUAAACCUUUCCCAUCUUCCUCCUUACAUCUAAACUUUUGGUGGGACCCCAGUCGAUUUGCUAAAGGAUAACACCUGCUACAAAGAUCACUGAAUACAUUUUUGGGCUCCUAAAUAACACAUAACGUAUUUGUGGGUGUGUGUGUAUGUGUACGUGUGUAUAUACAUAUAUAUAUUUAAGUACUUUUUCUACCCCUGAGACCAGAUUUUCAAUUUAAUGCCUCUACAACUAGGGAAUAGUGGUGGGAAGUCAAAAUGUUUUCCUUGGUUCCUCAAGCAACAAUUUGAAUAGACUUUAACUGACUCUGUGGGAAUUUUUCCAUCACUCAGAAAGACCAUAAAGGUAUCAUCUGAGUUGUUUGCUUAGCUCUUCAUCUUCAGUCUUAGCUUGGGGAUAAUGAAACCUGAUAUUAAUGUGCUGAAAUUAUUUCUCUCUAUGAAGGCUUACCCAAUAAACCACAGUUAAUGACCUUAAAGAGUUCUUCAGGAAUUUCACAUUGAGCCAGCUCUGCCCUCAAAUUUUCCAGUGAUUCCUUUCAGAUAUUUAAAAUAGAUUUUUUUUCUUCUCCCUUCUUAAGUAAAUAUUUUUUAAGAAGCAGUGAACUUUGCUGCUGUAAUUCAAAGAUAAAGAUUAUGUCUUUCAAGCUUGUUUUAAUAUUUAUGUUGGCUUAUGACUAAAUAUUAGCUUGUUUUAGUUAUCUAUUAUAAGGUAAAAUAGAACACUUGAAACAAUUUUCCCAUAGUUUUCAUUUAUCCUUAUGGUAAUACCAAACUGUUGAAUAGUAAUUUCAGCUUAUCCUAGAUUAACAUAUCUUUUAUACUUCUGUUAAAUGAUUUCUUUCAAUAAGCACCGUUUUACUUUCUUGUUCUGAAAAGCAAAUAUUAAGCAGCGUGACAUUUGACGAAGCUCCCAUGCCAGACAGGGGACCACAGCAAGUCAUCUGAUUCAUUCUCUAAUUUUCAGGCAGGAACAUACUUCUGAUUAUAUUAUCAAAGGCAGCCAGCUGUAGUUUGAGAUAGCCUAUUAGUGAAAGAAAUUGAUAUAACCAAUCAAUAAACAAACAGGUAAAAGUCUUCUCAUUUCAUUUGAUGAGAUUCUGGCAAAGGACAGGAAUGUUACCCUACUAGCAUUGAAAACAGUAAGGCAGAAAAUCACUUGCGGAGAAAUCAGUGAGGCAAAAUUAAACCUUGGCCAAAUUGCCUCCCUCCUCUAGUAGACUUUUCAUUCUUAAACUGCUUUUCCUGGAAUGCCUAUAUUCUGCAUCAGUUAGAUGCAAUUAUUGCUGUAUUAUUUUGACAUUCCCAGAUAAGUUUAUCUUCAGAUGCUGAAUGACCAGUCUAGAGACUAAAGGAAUCUGAAACAGUGCUGAACUUUAAUAAAGUUUUGUCAAACAGUGCCUUUAGUAAUUACAGCAAAACCUGGUGUUCUCUUGCUAUCUCAGAAUCCUUUAAAGGCAUCUAUACCUAAGGCCUGAUACGGAAAGACAGUUGCCCAACUCUUUAUAGAGUUAUCAAAAACAAUUUUUCUCAGUAUUUUCAUUUUCAGAGACAAUCUUGAGCAAAGCAAAAUUGUUAGAAAGAUACCUUGUUUUAAAUUGUUACAGGAAAGCAAUGGAUCUUAAGUGAAAUAAAUAUUGAUAGAUAUGGCAAAGAAGAGGGCAGAUGUGAUACUCUGGUUGGAUAUGACUGUAGUUAGGAUGCUGGAUAAAACUAAGGUAUGAUCUGAGCUGUAGUAAGCAGAAACUGAUAAAGCUUCUGUAGCAGAAAAGAUUGUGGUUACUGUUCUAGAUUCAAGCUUUGGGUCUGACAUGGCAAGUGUUCUGAUAUUCAUAAAUUCAUGAGCAAAUUUUGAUCAUUGCUUACAUGUUGACCAUUUAUAAGCAUUUAGGCUACAAAAAGCAACAUAUUAGCCACCACAAAUAAUAUAAACAUAAAGAAGUGAAUUAGGGUAGAAAAUGUUGAGAAUUAAUUUUGUGGGAUUGGAAGACAGUGCAUAAAAUUUUAGCGUUAACAAUCUAUGUAGGAGGCAAGUUGAUCCAGGGUACUUGUUGACCUCUAACUGCCUCAUUGCUCCUUGUAGACACACAGGUCUCUUUUGGAUGUUGAACUCUGCUCUAUUGUCAAAAUUCACCCAUAUCUACUGUGCCUGAGCAGCACUUCCAGAUGAGCUUUUCCUCCCUCUUUCAAGUCUUAUACAUUUGGCUUGGUGACAGUGAGCAAGUGUGAUAAAGAAAUAUCUGCUAAACUCACUAGGUCGCAGUAAGCACUGGAGGCACCUGAUAAACACAGCUUCCUAGAGUAAAUUUCUGAAUACUCUGAGUAUAUAAAGUGACUUCUAUGCUCAGACAAAUUUUGGAAAUUUCAUGAUGAAUUAAAAUAUUAGGGUUAUCCCAUUCUAGUAAAUAUAUUAAUUUCAAUAAAAUCUUAUUUCAAAUAAUAUUGUAUUCCCCCCAAAGUGACAAGCAGUAGAGAUUUUCUGAAGGAUUCAGUGUUCACUCAUUCAACAAUAGUUAUUGACAGUCUAUCAAGUCUUUAGUCAUUGGAAAUGAAUCUGUGGAUCAACCACAGUCUCAGGCCUCAGGGGGCUUCUGAGAUACAUUACUGGGUAUAUGUGGCUUUAUUAUUAUUUGUAACCUAAGUAAGAAAUAACCCAGUUGAUACAGGCUUACUUCAUAUUUACUCUAUGCAGGGCUACAAUGGUCACCAUAAGGAUGUCUGACCACGUAAUUAAUGAUGAAUGAGACUACUGAAGGUUAGAUAGGAGCAGAAUUAAUCUAUCUAAAACAGGCACAUUGGAAGAUGCAGGGUUCUGUGGACAUAUCUAGGAACUGUAGGCACCACUGAAGCUUGGUUAACAGUUCAGAAUAAGUAGAAUGCAAAUAUAAUAAAAGAUGGAAGUCAAGAUUAAUAAGUAUUAUAUUUUGUAAUUUUUAGAUUUUUCUCGCACUUACAUUUCUGGGUAAAACUUGUUUUGCUUAUCUAAAUGUGUUGCUUAUUGAGCUCGUUAUAUACUUAACAGUCAUUUGUUAAUUACGGGUAAUUUUUCCUUUUCAUUGGGUGUAUUAUUGUUCCAAUUGUAACUUUUGCAUAUCUACAGAGUCAGAUCUUUAUUCACCCUCUACUCCAAUAUUAUUUAAAUCAUAAAUGGUUGCCAGCUUCUACAUACUUUUUCAGAGAAAAAAGUUCUGGGUCUCUCUUAAAAGACCCAGGAGGACUGCGUAGAUGUGCAUAAGCUAGACAUAGAUUAUGUCGUUGUUUCUGUUAUUUAUUUUCUUGUAGCAGUUCGAUGCAGGUUAAAGAUUUCCUUCUCUAAGAUUGUUAAACAUUAUCUAAACAUUGAGGAACAGACUUAAAAAAAAAACAUUAUGCAUGAGUACCGGAAAACUAUACGUAUGCUGUUAAGUAGAAAGCAAAUUAAGAUGCAUCUAAUUAGGAUCAAGGAUGAGGAGUUAUGACCCUAUUCCAGGCUGAAGUUCUCAGAAGAGGUACAUGUGGUGGGAUUAGGCUUAGUAAAGAAUCUUUAGUGACUUUUCUAUUUUCUUAGAAAGUUGAUACUGAGGUGCUAAGUAGCAACAUGGUUCCUGGUAUCCUAUGUAGCUUAUUCGCAUACGUGCACCUCAGCCUCAUGCAUCCACAAUGAUGAAGAUGACUAUGAAUAUCUACCUUGUCUUUAAGAAGGUAGAGUUAUCCUUAAUGGUUUGGUGUUCUAUACUAAAGCUGGAGAGAUGUCUGGAGAGUUUCUAAUUUUGAUUUUAAUAGCUUUUCAUUCUUUUGUUUUAAUUCAUUGAAGGCCUUAAAUUAGUCCAGGAGGAUUGGUAUAAAAAUCCCAUUUUUUUUGCUGUUCAGAGUUCAAAAGCCUCAACUUGUGGAGAGAAAUGAAAUGGCUGAGUAGCAGAAGUCAGCAGUGAGCUGCAGCUUGCUCACAUUGCCCUCAAAUCUGCUGCACACAUACCUUCACAGCUCGGCAUUAGUUACCUCACUUUGGUAGCUUGACAUCUGCCAUGUUAGGUGAAUUUAUACCAGAGAAAUAAAAAACAAUUCUGUAAAUCAGGGAAUUUUGGUCAUGCAGAGCCUGCUAUUAAAUGUUUACCAGCAUUGCUGCUGAAAAAAGAGUGUUCCUCAUAUGUGGCACACUACUGGUGGUCAUCAGUCCAUCCUUCUUGCUUGGAUAGGCAUCUCUGCACAGUUGUAACACCAGUGACUUACAAUAGACAAUUUCUCUUUAGCUGGAAGAAAGCAGUCAUAGUGACAGUGGUAGUGGACAAUGCUGAAUGUUGCCAUACAUACUCAAGUCCAAGGUUAGACCUUAUUAAUAGCAGAGAGAAGUGAUUAGAAUAUUAAAGUCCUAAUUCCUGUUUUUAUCAUUCUUUCUGCUCCUUGCGUCCUAACACACCUGUAUAAACAUCAUCAGAUCAACAGAACAUUUAGCUGUAGUGUUUACCCUUCAAACAGUUGAUUUCCUCUUUAAAUUCAUAAUAUUUUAUUUCUUUUGGGGAGAAAUCUCCCAUAAAUUAUUUUACCAUCAUCUAGAUCAGCAUUAUUCAACAGAAUGUUCUGCUACAAUGAAAAUGUUCUGUAUUUAUGUUGAGCAAUAUAGUAGCCAUUAGCCACAUGUGGAUUGUGAACAUUUGAAAUGUGCCUAGUGUGUGAGAGGAAAUGAAUUUUAAUUUAAUUUAAAUUAAAAUAGCUACAUACUGCUAGUAACUAUCAUUUUAUACAACUUAGUCUAAUCCAGGUUUUAUCUUCUUUUCUAAAAAAAUUGUCCUGUAUUCAAUGCUUGAUCAUCUUUAUCCCCCUUUAAAAAUGCUGUUGUUUUUAACAGAUAAUUUUUAAAUUUGGAGUUGUUUUAGUUUACUGUUACAAAUGGAAUACUUCAGUCAGUUUUGAAUUUCAGUCCUAUACAUCUAGAGUCAGAACACACACUUCACAAUGGAAAAUACUGUUUAAUUAGAUCAAAUAAGUUGGAAAUAUAAUGUGUCUUUCCUAUAUAAAGGCUCUCAGAGCAAAGCACUGAAGUUUUUAGAAGUUUCAAAAAGAUAUUUGAAUCUGAUUAUAGAUUUGGUACAUAUGUAAGAGUACAGCCUAUGUUAGCCAAGUCACUAGCUUCUGUUAUUGCAUUUUCUUCAACAAGGAUUAGUCCCAGCAAAUGAUCUCUUCUGAAAUAGAUUUAUAGUCAGCUUACACUGAAAUAUAUAGUAAGAAACAAAUCAAAACCAUCAACAUAAACAAGAAAAUUGAGAUUAAUGAAGUCUUUGCUAAACAUUGUGCUAAAUGAUUUUACAUGUAUAACCUUAUUUAAAAAUUUAAAUAAUCCCCAAUUUUGAUGCAGACAAUAAGGAACAGUGAGUGUAAGUGACUUAAAGUCAAACAAAUAGUUUGGAACAGAGGUAGAGCAGCACUGAAUGUGCAUUCUGUCAAUUGCUAAAUGAUUGCUUGUUAAAGAAAAUAUUGGCUAAUGCUGAAAAAUGAGCAAACAUCUCCACUAUAGUAUAAAUGAUUAAAGGAAAAAUUAUAUCAAAAAUUUAAAUAUUGUUACCGUUUUAUUAUCAAAUUGUGGUGGUCAAGUUUUAAACGGUUAUUGUGUAAAGACAAUAAAUUCUCAGACUAUCAGUUGAUAAUAUACUCCUUGGGUAAUACUUGUAAGAAUAAAACAUAUUGUCUUUCAAAUGAGGUCAAUGGAUGAGCAAGCUAUAUCUUGGAUUCUUUUUUUACUCACUAACACUUUUGUCUUUUCUUCAUAUUCUUUAAAUUCUAUUACAACUAGUUGGAAGAUAAUUUGUCAAGGAUGUUGUUGUACAUGAUUUUGGAGAUUUUCCUUUUUGUAAAAUUGUGAGGAGGCAGAGUUGACGUUUUGCUUUUAAUUUGUCCUCCCAAAAUUUGAAGAAUUCCCAAAUAGAACUUCAUGACUCAUGGCUUAAUGACAUUAGUUGUUAAAGAUUAUUUUGCUUAAUGUCAUGAAUGUUGAUACCAAAUAAUAUUUCUAAAAUUACUAAAAUAUUUGCUUUCUAUUAUUCUGUCAUUUGUUAUCAUUUAAAUAUUUAGUGAUAUUCCACAGAAAGAAUGUUUUUCUAAAGUUAUCUAGCACACUCAUUCAUUCUAAAUAUUUGUAUUAUAUCCAAAGGAUUGCUUUGUUCAUAUUACUGUCAUUGCUAAACAGAUUAUAUAUUUUGGUAAUUUAUGGAAUCAUAAAAGUAUUGACUAAGCACAAGUUCAGGGAUGCCAGAAAUAAGGUUAAAGUAAACAUUAGCAACUAGGACUUUUUCUAAUUGGCAUAUUUGGCCCAACCAAAGCUAAAUCUGAGUCUCUGGGCAUUUCUAGUUGGGAUUUUAAGUGAAAUCCAUAUUUCUUUGAACCAUGUUGUACAUAUUUUCUGUGUUAUCAUUUCAAGUGGGAUACAGACACAACCGCUGCCUUUCUUUUUGUUAAAAUAUUCUAUUUUAAAGCAUGGAUAAAAACCGUAUAUGUGAUGAGAAUGGAAGGUAGAAGCCAUUUAAUAGGUGAAAUUGAUUAAGUUAUGUGGGUAAUUGAAAUAAUAAUGCUUCAUUGAUAAAAACCAUAUAUGCAAUGAGAAUGAAAGGUGAAGCCAUUUAAUAGGUGAAAUUGAUUAAGUUAUGUGGGUAACUGAAAUAAUAAUGAUUUCUCAGCCAAGAGGAAAAAAGAAUGUACUCAGCACUUCUUUUUCACUGUUUGAAUUUCCUAGAAAAUAAAAUGGAGAUUUGAUUUUAGCACAGUGGAGAGAAAUAUACACAAAAUACUGUCAGGCCAGCGAUACUGAUUUGAUGCUUACCCAUUUACUACAUUAUUUUUGUCAUACUUUCUUACACCUCUGAGAUAUUGUAUUCUGCCUGAAGUUCAUCCUUUAAAAUUUCCAUUAAUGAGGGUCUGCUGGUGGUAAACUCUAUAAUGCUUUAUUUUUCUUCCUUUAUUUCACCUUUCUUUUUGAAUAAUUUUUUUUUGCUGAGUAUAGAUUACUAAGUUGACAGUUACUUUUCUAGCACAUUAAAAAUAUCCCACUGUUUUAUUGAUUUUAUCGGUGCUGUUGGUAAACUACCUCUCAUUCUAAUUAUCAUUUCUCUGAAGAUAACCAUUUUUUUUCUUCAGCUGCUUUUAAGGUGUUCUAAUAAAUUUAUAUUUUUCUGCAGUGUUCAAUAGAACAGAUCUAAGUAUGGAUUUAUUUUUGCUUAUACUCUUAGAUUUAUUGCAUUCUUGAGUCUGUAGAUUUAUCAUUCUUAUCAAUUCUGGAAAAUUUGCUAUUAUUAUUUCUUCAUGGAUUGUUUCUCCCAUUUCCUUUCUUCAGUCUCUUUCUGGCACACUUGUGAAACUAAGGUUAGACUAUUGAUUGUAUCCUUUAUGUUUCUUACCCAAAUUCUGUGUUUUUUCAUUCUUUUGUUUCUCUGUGCUACAUUCCAGAUAACAUUUUUCUUUUCUAUCUCCCAGCUUACCAAUUUUCUCUUGAGUCUUAUAUUGAAGUUUUAUAUUGACUGUUGUAUUUUACAUUUCUAGAGUUUUUGUUAAGACUUUUCAAAUAUUCUCUUUUCUUUGGUGUUUCUUAUUCCUUGAAUACAUUUUCAAGCUUGUAUUUUUAAAUAAAGUACAGAUGUUUUAUAUUCUAUGACUAAUAAUUCUGAUAAUUAAUGAUUCAUACUUCGUACGUUCUUUCUUCUGUCAUUUAUUCUGGUUCUUCCUCAUCGUGUCAUGUUUCCUUGUGUGCCUGAUAUAUCCCUGACUGUGUGACCUGCUUAGUAUUUGAAAAUUAUAUUGAGAAAAAUUUGAACUCUAGGAUUGUUUUCUCAUUCUACAGAGAUAAUUUUCAUUUGUUGCUGUAUGGGUGAAUAUAAGUGUAUUGCCACUUCAAGACCACCUUAACCCAAGUUCAAGGCUUGAUGUUUCUUGGGCCACUGAGUAGAUGAAUACUUGGGUCACAUAAGGGCUUAUUUUUGUGUAGUUCAUCCUUUCCAUGGGAAUGUAACUCCUCGAGGUCCCAACUUAAAGUAUGCAGUUCUAUCAGUCAAAAAUUCUUUUAGGAAAAAAUGAGAUUACGCUAGAUAUUUUACAGAGAUAAUUUAAUAUGAGGGAAUCGAUCAAACAGAUAUUGGAAAAGUAAAAAGCAGAAAAAGAACAUAGAGUUAAGAUAGAGUUAAUAACAUUGAAAUGGCUGGGAACAAAGGAUGGAGACAGAGUUCUCAGAGGAGAGGCCCCACAGAACUGGGGCACAGACUUUGGAAGAGACGAUGCUACCUGGAAAGUGCUGGUACCUCUGAAGCGCACAAUGAGAUUGGUUCUCAUUCUGGGACUGCUGGAAAAAAUCUGAUGACUGCAAUCCACAGCUUGUGGUAAAGAGCCACUGCUGGGAUUACAGUAAAUGGAGCAGCAAAUAAACGGGAGUAAGUUUCCUCUCCCCUCCUGCUUUUCAGGCUCUCUUUAGCCUUCUCUAUUGGUGGAGUCAAAUAAGGAUCUGGCCAGUUGAGGAAAAAUGUUGUUUGCAGAUUCCUGGCUGCAGUAUCAAAACGCCGAGUAUAUAAGGGAAGGUUUGGUACAAGGGAUGUUGCCAGCUUUUCCACCCUGCCCAAGCCCAGGAUGUUUCCCUAUUUCUGUGAGGCCGCCAGCAGUGUUGUAGCUGUUUCUUUAGGGUUAGAAAUACCCUUAGGAUAUAUAUGGUUCUGAGUUUUGUGUUUACAUCUCCAGAUUCUUGAUUUUUCCUAGGUUAUCGUCUAGUAAUUUUUGUCGUUAUUUUGUCGAUGCUUUUAAAGCAACUUUAAAAAAAAAUUCACUUAGUUUUAAAUUUUUUUUCUUUAGUGUGUAGUAGGUCUUAUUUAGCAGAUGCACAAGUCUUCAGUUUAUGCCUUACAACUUUAAUUGGAAAAGGAUAUUUGUUUGUCCUUGCCUGUUUUCUAGCUUAUACUACACAGGCAACAUGCUAUAAAAUAAACGUAUAUGUGUUUCAAAAUGGUUCAAUUUGCCCCUUUCUUGAAUAGUCAAUUACAUGCUAAUAAAAAUGUAAAUUUUAACUUAUACUUCUUUCAUUAUAUUCUCCAAUUAGAAGUUAUUUUCAUGACUACAAGAAGCUAAAAAAACUCA
Molecule: long non-coding RNA, 11085 nt
Filed under: Homo sapiens (human)
Lineage: Eukaryota; Metazoa; Chordata; Mammalia; Primates; Hominidae
Description: non-protein coding lnc-IMMP2L-1:8
Source: RNAcentral